Long non-coding RNA from Globicephala melas (long-finned pilot whale), 8365 nucleotides. RefSeq lists it as uncharacterized. The record is from RefSeq and is a predicted model, not a curated record. Lineage: Eukaryota; Metazoa; Chordata; Mammalia; Artiodactyla; Delphinidae.
GGUGGGGUACAGGAUGUGGGCCGGGGAGUGGCCAAGGUGAGGCCAAGUAGGGUUGAAAGGGUCGGGCUGGGCUGGGCUGGACUGGAAAAAGCCCCGAGGCCGUCCUGAGGAACUGGGGUCUUAUCUGUCAAGCAAUGAGGAACCGUUGUAGGAUUCUAACUGAAGGAGUAACAUGACUCAUUCUUUUAUUCACUCAUUCGUUUCCUUCCCUCCCUCCCUUUUCACCUGACUCUAGCACUGCCCUUGGGAUGGGUUGGACGCAGAGCAAGGAGUAGCAGGGCCACUUAGGAGUGGCCCUCAGGGACAUGAGCACAAGCAGGUGGGCCUCAACCCACCGGCGGUAAUGCUGGUGAGGCCGGGGCUGAUGAGGGGGCAGAAAUCGCAGGAUCUGAUGACCAGGUGGCCUGCGGGGAGGGACCAGGGAAAGAGUGGUGUUCCAAUUACCCAACUCGGAUAAUUGAAUUCAAGGUGAUGUAAUUACCUGAGAGAAUACGAGGGGAGGAGAGGGGCAGGUCAGAUGAAGAAUUGGUUUGAGUCAGAAGGGGCUCAUGGUGAAGGUGUCCAGGAGACGGUAGGAACAGACUCAGGUACGGGAUGAAGGUGCUGGAAGCCCUGUGCGGGUUGUGCUGGCCCACAGCCAGGAAGAUGGAGGCGGGGGCAGGAAGACGCUGGGCUGUGGGAAGCAGGGCCGGUAGGUAUAGCAUCAGCUGCUGGUCCUGGAGGAAGCAGAGAGUGAGGACGGGAAGAGGCCGCUUCUCGCUGCAGGUCAGCAGUCCCCUCAGUGACAGUGGGACAAACACCAGGGUGCAUGGGAUCCGGGCACGGAGAGGUGUGGAGGUAGCUCUUUGGGAGAGGGAGAGAGUGCUGGCCAGAGCUGCAGGUAAGCUGGAAGGAAGGUGUGUGUUUUAAGGACGGAACAGAGCUGAGCACGUCAUUUGCUUUCCAAAGAGCAACAAUCAGAAACAACCAUAAGGUACUAGGAACUUAGGAAAUUGAUUUAAAGGAAACUCUAAACUGAAAAAUGAUUGUUCUGUCCAGAGGACAAUAGUGAAGCAAAGCAACGCUGCUUAUUUCGAGCUUGAUAAGUAUUUGUGUUAUUUAGGUCUUUCAUCUAAUGGCUCAGAUGAAAGUUGCACUUUCCAGCCUGAUACGUUAACCCAGCACCUGAAGGACAGGUGCCCAGAGAGAAGCUGACUUUCUUAUCUGGUCGGGAAUCACCUGGGCGAUCCAUUUCACAAUGCAACGCAGAGCGAGAUGAACCAGAACCUGCUGUCUGGGAUAGGGUCUGCGAGGGUGCAGCUGACUCUGGCAGCCUUGCCCUGAGGCCCCAGGUCACUGCUGAAGGGAGCUGGAUGAAUCUGCAUGAGGAACUCAAGAACUGCCUCCUCAGAUGCCAAAUGAGCAGACCUAGUGGCUUGACCAGAGCAGUCCUGAUGGGGCCCUGUGGCGACGAAGCUGCUCAAACUAAACAAGCAAACAAAAAAAAACUCUGGCGAGCAGGGCUCAGCUGUCACGAGGCCACUUUCAGCCAGUCUGUGCUGCCUGGGGAGCACCAAGACCCCCCAGCUGCUGCCCCCAUGGCACGGGGGCUGGAAUGGGACCUGCUUUACAGAGCAGUGGCCUUGGAGAUCCAGGAGGGUGCCUUCUCGGCCACGCUUAGUGCUCGGGGAGUGGGAUGCCCUUGAAGACUCACUGGGUUUCCCACAAAGGGCAGGGGGGUUGAUUGCAAAAUGCAGGCUUGGGUACGUUGACCUGAAGCAAAUAGAUGGCCAGGUAUUCUCCAGCAAAGAUGAGUUUAUUCAGGAUCAGCAGAGAAUUGCAAUUCGGGGGCUCAACCACGGCAGCCACGUGCAAGUGCCCACACGGCAGAGGAAGGAGACACUUAUAGGCGGGACAAGGGAGGAGGCGGGCUUAGUAAGCAGAGCCGCAGCCUUUCAUUGGCUGAGUCCUGGCGGGAAAGAAUGGGAGUCUUUCUUCUGUUGAGCUGGGCUGUCAGUGCAGGGGUGAGAGCGCCCCCUGCUGGUCUCCCGACUCUGUUUAACAGGUUUCCGUUCAUUAAUGUUUUACAGCAGUCACAGGACAAAAGCCAAAAGGGACCUGAGAUAUGCAUUUUCAUUAUUCCUGCGUGGGGAGGGUGGUCAGAACAUUGUCCUUUUUAAACAAAGCAAGUGGUUCCAGCAUAUUCUAGACUCCCAUCCAGCCUGAGGUAGAGAACCUCAGCCCCUCAUCAGGAAGAAGGGCAAGGGUCGAGGGAGGGGCUCCAUCAUCCGCCCCUCUGUCAUUCUGCCGCGUUCCCCUCCCCGACCCCAACUGCCACCAGCACACAUGCUUCCUCUCUCUUCCCAGGGCCAUCCCACCUCCAAGGCAACGUGAGACCUGCACGAGGACCCUGGGGCGCUCUCCUCCUGUGGGCUGUCUGAGCAGCACCGCGGCCAGGUCCUGGGGUCAUCUACGGCGUUAUUCCUGGCGAACUUGAUGUUUGCGCAUCGCCUUUAAUCACUUUAUUACCUGAACCACCCAGCAUGCAUGAAAUGGCAACCGUGACGCACUAGCUGGUGCUGUGACUGUUUAUUCAUUCCACAAACUUUUAUUGAGCACCUACUCUAUAGACCAGGAGUUACACUAGGGUCUGGAGACGUCGUGGUAGGGGACACGGUCCCUGGCCUCACGAUACCAGAUAGAUAUUGUGAGAUAAUAGAAAAAAUGUGCACUGGAGUCUGCCACCGGUUCCUGGCACAGGGCUCCGGAGCCCUUGUAAUUUCCUAGGUGAUGAGAACACGAGGAGCAUCUCUUGUUCUAAUAUUUGGUCUUUGAUCCCCGUUCCUGACACAGAGCUCCUGAAACCCUGGUAAUAUCCUGGGUGAUAGGAGUGUCUUUUGUUCUAAUGAGGUGACUCUGGGCGGGCUCCUGGUUGAGGGCUGCUCACUGGAAAGACCCACCCGUGAUUAGAAGCUUGGAAUCUUCAGCCCCACCACCCCACAUUCUCUUGAGAAGGGAGAAGAUCUGAAAAAUGGAAUUAAUAAUGGAUCAUGCCCACGUGAGGAAGCCUCCGUACGUAAAAUCCCACUAGCGUGGGGUUCAGAGAGCUUCCAGGUGGGUGAGCACAGCCACACGGAGGGGGGUGACGCACCCCAACUCCAGGGGGACAGAGGCUCCUGCGCUCAGGACCCUCCCAGACCUCGCCCUGUGCAUCUCUUCAUCUGUCCUUUACUAUAUCCUUUCAUAAACUGGUAAACGUUCGUGUUUCCCUGAAUUCUUUGAGGCACUGCAACAAAUUAACCCACCCUGAGGAGGGGGUCGUGGGAACCUCUGAUUUGUAGCCAAAUCCUACAGAAGGUGUGGGUAACUUGGGGACUUGUGACCGUCAUCUGUGGGACAGGGAGCAGCCUUGGGGGGCUGAGCCCUUAACCUGUGGGAUCUGACGCUGUCUCCAGGUACACAGUGUUAGAAUUGACUUAAAUUGCAGGACACCCAGCUGGUGUCAUGGGAAUUGCUUGGUGUGGUGUGGGAAAACCUCCCACACAUUUGGUGACCAGAAGCGUCAGAAGUGAGGUGCUUUGUACGAGGAAUAAAGAAGAGAAACAUGGGAGGGAAGAACCGGGUUAUUCUCUAUUCGGGAAAAGACCGAACAGAGGUUUUUCCUUAUACGGAUAUGCAAAUAAAUGACAGUUGACGUGGUAUGUGCUGUAGUGACGCUAAGCCUGAGGGGCAGGAAAAGGAGAAGCAGCUAGAAGUCUGGCUGGGGAGUUAAGAAGGGGUCCCAGAAUCCAUGACACUCAGCUGAGAUCUGAAGAAUGAGGAUGAGCCCAGGGGACACCCAGGAGGAGAGAAUUCCAAACUAGGGAUGGGGAAACUCAUCAAAGUGCUCAUGGUUGAGGAGACAGAUAACCUACUAUUGCCGGACCACUAAACAUGAGGCAGUUCAGGCUGGACACCUAUGAAGGGCCUCAUCUGUCAGGCCAAUAAAUUCGUGUUUUAUCUUACAGGCUGCGGAGAGUCCCUGAAGAAUUCCGAGCUGCGGGGUCACGGAAGCAGAGUUAUGCAUCGGGAAAACGGCUCUGCAGCAACGCAGACAGAUGGGAUGCAGAGGUCAGGAGUAUCUGGGCCGCCAUGCUUCGGGUGAAAGGUGGCAGGUGAUUCCCCUCGAUGACUCCCCACAAACCAAGUAUCUCAGUUUAAUGUUAACUUUUCAAAAAAAAGAAAAAAGAAAACCUCUCAACAAAGAAAAGUCCAGGACCAGGUAGCCCACUGGUGAAUUCUAACACUGAGCCUUCUCAAAUUCUUCUAAAAAAUUAAAGAGGAGGGAGGACUUCUGAACUCAUACCCUGAUAUCAAAGCAAGACAAAGACAUCACAAGAAAAUAAAACUGCAGGAUAAUAUUCCUUAUGAAUAUUGAUGCAAAAAUCCUCAACAAAAUACUAGCAAAUUGCAUCCAACAAGAUAUUAACAGGAUUAUACAUCAUGACCAAGUGGGAUUUAGUCCAAGAAUGCAAGGGUGGUUCAACGUAAGAAAAUCUAUCACUGUCAUACAUCACAUGAAUAGUAUAAAGAGAAAAAAACCACAUGAUCAUCUUGUGAAAAUGAAAAAAAGAAACCUCGUUUAAAACAUUUAUAGUCAGUUGAUUUUGAUAAGGGUGCCAAGUCCAUUCAAGGCGGUAAAGAAUAUUCUCUUCCAUGGAAGAUGCUGGGACAACUGGAUUCCCACUCACAAGGAUGAAGUUCUACCCUUACUUCACACCACAUACAAAAAUAACUCAGAAUUGAUCAACAACCUAAAUACAAGGCUAGAACUCUACAAUUGUUAGAAGAAAACAUAGGAGUAAAUGUUCAUGACCUUGGGUUUGGCAAUGGGCUCUUAGAUAUGACACCAAAAGCUCAAAGCAAAAACAACAAAAAUAAAUAAAAUAAAUAAAUUGGAUUUCAUCAAAAUUAAACAUUUUUACGUGUCAAAGGACAUUAGCAAGAAAGUAAAAGACAUUGGAAAGCAGGCUUGAAUUAAGGGCCAACCAAGAUGCAUGCAGACACAGGUGUGCUGUAUACGUACUUUGAAUCGCGUUAAUGUGCUUCGAAGGCUACUCCGGCACCCUUACAGGGGGGCAGAGUUCGUUCUAUGGUCGUUGCUAUUGUUUGCUGCUGCCUGCAAAGCUGAACAGAGGAUACAAAGAGGUGCUCAUCUCAGCACGCCUUCAAUUCUCAGCUCCUUGCGAAAUAGACUCCAUUUUUAUACAGUUUGUGGUUUUGAUUUACAGGGUUUUUUUUAAUCUUAUGAAAAAUGAAUAACCUCCUACUUCCCUACACCCGCUUUUAGCCCUAUCAUUGGGGAUACUUCUCUUUAACUCAUUAUCAUAGUUAAAGGUGGGCUCUGGAGCCAGACUGCUUUGCAUCUUAACUAGACUCUUUGGACCUCAGUUUUCUCAUCUGUAAAAUGGAAAUAACAGUAGGAACUGCAUUAUGGUGCUGUUGGGAUUAAGUCAGUUAAUCCAUGUAAAGAACCUUCCACACUGAUAGAACACAGUAAGUGCUGUGUAAGUGCUAAUGGGCAUUACCCCAUACUAUUCUUAUUUCUAAUAAUUACCCAGAAAUAUUAAGUGCCCUUUUAGCUUGUCCUCGAGUAGCAGGGAGCAGUCAGUUCACAUUCCCUCACCCAAGGUUCAUUACUGAGUCAUAGAUAAAGUAGGAAGAAAAGUCAUAGAACAGAAUUUUGGCUUCAUUAUAUUUGCAAUUCCAGUGGUACAAUCUUGAAAGUACCCUUUCCUUCUAAUUUUUAAGCAAACUUUCACCCAUCAUACAUCACUGUGUACCAUGAGAGCCUAAUACCUCUAAUCAUACGGUUGCCAAAAUGCUCGGACUGGUUUGGGGUGGAGAGAGGGAGUUCAAGCUUUGCUUGGGUCCAAGUAUUACAUGCAAAAGUAAUUUUGAAAAGCAUGUUAAAGUUGCCAGUAUUUGGUUGUCAACUAAAUCUUAGUUAAAAUGUGAGAAGCUUUUGUUCUCAUUUUUUAAAAAUUUAUUUAUUUAUUUCUGGCUGUGUUGGGUCUUCGUUGCUGCGCGUGGGCUUUCUCUAGUUGCGGUGAGUGGGGGCUACUCUUCGUUGCGGUGUGCGGGCGUCUCAUUGCGGUGGCUUCUCUUGUUGCGGAGCACGGGCUCUAGGCACGCGGGCUUCAGUAGUUGUGGCGCACGGGCUCAGUAGUUGCUGCACACUGCCUCUAGAGCACAGGCUCGGUAGUUGUGGUGCACGGGCUUCAUUGCUCUGCGGCAUGUGGGAUCUUCUCGGACCAGGGCUCGAACCCGUGUCCCCUGCAGUGGCAGGCGGAUUCUUAACCACUGCGCCACCAGGGAAGCCCUGUUCUCAUUUUUGAUGAGUCAGUUAUUCAUGGCAUGACUGGCCAUUUAACAUCAAAAACCUAUUUAAUCACAAAGAGCUUUUUAUUUGAAUCUAAUCUCUAGAUUACCAUUUUGUUGGGACAAUAUCCACUUAAGACUUAUUAAUGCAAAAAGCCAGUUCAUAAUAUAUCGUCAUUAGAAUUCCAGCCACAGCUUUUGAGGAAUCAAGAUUGAUCACUCUCGACAAGCAGCAGACUAUCCCAAAGCACCGCAGGAAGUGAAAGUUCUCAGAAAGCAGGGGUUUUGUUAGGAAAUCAACACAAUAGCUCAUUUCCUAAUGAAGCUAGCAGGGGUCAGUGUCUUUUAGUUAUGUUUGAGAAAAACCAUAAAAUUGCCUCAUGAGAUUUCAGAGUUUGGACGAUCUUCAGUUGGAGACAAAAGACACCUUGAAAACACAAAACAUCUACUCACCCCAAAAUGUCCAAAGAAACCUGAAAAUAUUCAGACACCCAACAUGUUCCCUGCACACGUUCCCUGCCUGUGCCUCCAAACCGCCUCCAAGUUCUUUUCCUUGGGAACUCAGCAGCAAGGUAGAAGUAACAAUAGAAAGGAACUAAGAAAAAACUCUGGUCAAUUGUUUUUAGAGGAAUAGGGCCAAAAAAUAGUGAAAGGCAACCUACAGAAUGGGAGAAAAUAUUUGCAAAUUACAUAUCUGAUACUAUCCAGAAUGUAUAAAGAACUCUUAUCAUUCAACAACAAACAACCCAAUUAAACAAUGGGCAAAGGACUUGCAUAGACAUUUCACCAAAGAAGGUGUACAAAUGGCCAAUGAGCCCAAGAAAAGAUGCUCAACAUCAUUAGUCAUCAGGGAAAUGCAAAACAAAACCACAGUGAGACACCCCUUCAGAUGUUAGGACCGGUAUAAUGAUAACCAAAAAAGCAACAUAACAAAUGUUGGUGAGAAACGUGGAGGAAUCAGUGAGAAUGUAAAGCGGUGGAGCCACUGUGAAAACCAGUUAGGCAGUUCCUUAAAAAGUUAAACAGUUACCAGAUGACCCAGCAAUUUCACUCCUAGGUAUACACCCAAAGGAUUUUUUUAAAGGGACUCAGAUACUUGUGCACCAAUAUUUAUUGCAGGAUUAUUCGCAAUAGCCAAAUGACCCAAGUGUCCAUCAACAUAUGAAAGGAUAAACAAAAUGUGGUCUAUUCAUAAACUGGAAGUGUACUCAGCCAUAGACAGGAAUGCAGCUCUGAUACAUGUUACGAUACGGAUGAACCUUGAAAACAUUUUUUUUUUUUUUUUUGCGGUACGCGGGCCUCUCACUGUUGUGGCCUCUCCCGUUGCGGAGCACAGGCUCCAGACACGCAGGCUCAGCGGCCAUGGCUCACGGGCCCAGCCGCUCCGCGGCAUGUGGGAUCUUCCCAGACCGGGGCACGAACCCUUGUCCCCUGCAUCGGCAGGCGGACUCUCAACCACUGCGCCGCCAGGGAAGGCCAACCUUGAAAACAUUUUGCUAAGUGAAGUAAGCCAGACACAAAAGGCCACCUAUUGUAUGAUUCCAUUUGUAUGAAAUAUCUAGAACAGGCGAAUUCAUGGAGACAGAAAGAAGAUUAUAUGUUACCAGGACCUGGGUGGAGGGGGGAGUUACUGCUUAAUGAUUACUGAGUUUCUGUUUGGGGUGAUGAAGAAUUUUUGGAAAUACAACUAGUGAUGUUGCAUAACAUUGUGAAUGUAAUUAAUGCCACAGAAUUGUGUACUUAAAAUGGUUGAAAUGGCAAAUCUUAUACAGAUUUUACUACAAUAAAAAAAAUAACUAUGUUAUUGGGAAGAGUUUGUUUCCAAAAAGAAUGGGGAUGCUGUUAGCAGAGGGAAAGAAAAGUCAUUAAAUAAAACCAAAAGUAACUACUUCUCUAGGAGAAAGUUCAGGCUACUUCGAUUAGUCUUAAGGUAGCCCUCGAUGUUAACUUUCAUCUGAAACACAAACAGGGGGAGUUGGGGAGAAGAGGUAGUAUACAGCUGGCUUAACUGCCCCCUUGCCUGGGA